UCGUUGUGUGAUGUGAUUUAGAAUUUAAGUUUGCUGGCAGACCCUAGCUUCUUAUCAUUCCAGGACUCAAUUAAUUGAGAUGAGGUUGAUAGGAUGCUGGGCUCAUUGUAAUUCGCAAGAAUUGCAGAGAUGUUCAGCAGAACCUUGACAACUGCAUAGGUAAGUCUGGAAAGAAUAAAGCAUCUCAUGGAUGCAUGAUUCUUGGGAAUCCGCUGAUGCAAUCUGCGCGAGCAGAGAGCUGAGGUUGAUCAACGAGAAUGAUGUUUGAUUCUUGAGUCAAGAGCCGAGACUCUAUAGCGUUCUUUCGAUGUCAUCGAGUCAUCGAGAGUUUGAUUGGUGAUUCAAACCAUCUUCAAUGACAAACAAUUCAGUUUAACU
RNAcentral lists this unclassified non-coding RNA (378 nucleotides) under uncultured Prochlorococcus sp. RNAcentral's name for it is "partial 16S-23S ribosomal RNA intergenic spacer". Lineage: Bacteria; Bacillati; Cyanobacteriota; Cyanophyceae; Synechococcales; Prochlorococcaceae. The record is from RNAcentral.